GUUUUUCCUGUACAUAUUUGUCUGAAGUCUGUUAAACACCAGGUAUGUGAAGAGUUUCCCGGAGGGACCGAAAUAAAACAGCACGUUACAUUUUUCUUGAUGAUCUGGGGCAUUUUAUUUUGCAUCCAUGUAAACAGAGAUCCAGUCAUUGAGGAAACAGUAAUGGAUGAGUACAUUGCUGCAUAUACAAUUAGGCAUAACAUUAUGACCAUCUCUGCGGAUCAGGCCUGUUCCAGUGCAUCCCACCGAUACUUGAUCAGUUUGAGAACGAGGAAACUUGGAGGCGAGGUCAACACCUUGCUCUGUUUCAUGUUUGUUGAGUUGUGUGUGUCAGGCUGCAUCCUGCCAGAUGCAAAUGAUGCAGAUUUGAGCUGAUGGGGGUUUCUUUAAAUGUGUGGAAAGUGGCUGAAAUUCAUAAUUCUCAGCAUUGCCAUAAAAUUAUACAAAGUUUUACAAUAAACCAAACAAAGGGGAGAUGCGGUGAGAGCAGCUACUGUUUGUUCGUGUUAUUUACAGCAUUUAGUUGCUGAAUAGGGUCCCCUCAUUAAUGGUCAACGUUUCAAAACAGCCAAAAGUGUUUUUUAUUUAUUAUUUCAUCUGCACAGGAACUACAAAGUGAUACAGACUUCACUUCUGACUACUGAGGAUUAUGAUGCCAGGUAACUACAGAAACAAUGCUGCUUUACUGACGUCUACAUUUCAACCAUCCCAAACGGAGAUGAAGGGAGAUUGAGGGAGUAGCUGUGUAGCUGCUGCUGCUGUAAAACACCAAGUAAGCAUCUACUGCUUUCCACCCAUAGGUCAAGUUUAUAAAUGACUAUAAAACUGAAAAGAGCUGUUUGUCUCAGAUUUUUAUUUCUAAAUAUCUGGCAUUCAAUACAUUGUACACAUAAUAACCACAACUGUCUGCAACACUAUUAUGUCCUUGUAGAAGGAAGCAGAAUGUCAUUUGAAUUCUUUACCCAAAAAAAAUUAAUUUAAUUCCCUUUAAUUAAACUUCAAACUAAGACAGUUAUUCCACACAAGCAGCUAAAUGUGUUGAGAUUUAGUUAAGUUACCUGAACGCCCCUCAGUCACAUUUGAAAGGCAAAAAUGGUGACCACCUUAGACAUAAUAAACACAGACAAUAAAUAACUUCUAUUCUUUUCAUGGAUCCUCAUAUCAUUGUUAUUCUGACCUCUGACUCUGAUUGAGAUGUUCCUCAAUAAAACUCUGAGUUCAGAGGUUCCACCGUUGCUACGCAAAUUCACAACAAAUUCAAAAAUACAUUUCAAAAAUACAAUUAUUCAAAACUACGCAUUCUACUACAGAUAGCCAAGAAAACGCAGCUUUCAGCAUUUCUCCUCGAUUUCUGAAAACAAAGAUUUCCAGCGACAACUUUUUCAGCGACCACCAUCUAACGACAAAGACUGACAAGAUCCGUUCAUCAUGAAUUGUGACAGCGGACCAGCUUUCAGCACAAGGAAAAGGAAGAGGGUCAGCAGCGGUCUGGAUACAGCCAAAGUAUGUAGCACCAAGUGACCCACACCAAGUGUAGUUACUCAAUCACUAACUAAUGUCAAAAACAUACAAUGUAUGAUGGUAAUUUGUACCAGGAUAGUGACCUUUACAAGUUCUUUAUAUUGCACCGUAGAAUAAUAUGGGUCCACUAGUAAAUAAUCAGUAAUAUAAUAGCAAAUUAAUUUAAUAGUGGAAAAAAAGAUACAGUCAUUCGCAAAUUUUCUCAGUCAUUCUCAAAAAAACAAGCUGUGUUUUAAAAGUAAUGCAGUCUAUCGUAGAAGACAGUAUAUACUCAUGUACUACAAACAUGCGCAAACGCGUGAGUAGUCUUAAGUGAAAUGUGUGUUAUUUAAAGUAUGACACAACCUGACAUCUCCUCGACAGAAGCCACGUGCUGUUUCCGGGUCCCAGCCUCCCACACCUCCUCCUGUGUCUUCCACCCGUGACUGUGUCCAGCAGGAUACAGUCACACAAAGCGACACAGCACUUAAGAUCCACGGUUACUCUCUUGAAGAGUACGAGAUGAUUUACCACUCUGUGGUGGAUGACAUGCUCAAGUAAGUUUGUAAAUUACAGCUGGAUUUUAAAACAUGAUGUUAAGACUGAUAAUUUAGUUCCGAAUCACAUUUAACUUUAAAAUUUCUUUAUUAUGUCCUUGUGUCCUCACAGAUAUAAAACUGGCAGACCUCGGCCCUACACCCUCCAGCAUGGGAGAGUGAUUAAACAGCGCCUGUGGGACACAUUGGGUCGUCCAAAGAUCACCACACGAGAAAAGCCUGAUAGACUCUUGGUGAUUGAAGAGUCUCACAGUAAAGACGUCUAUCCACCACUGAUACACGUGGAUAUCUCUAGAGAGCCCAAACCUCGGGUAAUCUUCACUAAGGGAUCAAAACGAAGAAGAAAAUACUAGUACAACGUCAAAUGAUCGAUGUUGUACUGACUUCAAGUUUAUGCUUCUAAUUCAGGUUCUCCAGCCUCUGUAAUACAGCCUCUGACAACCAGCAGCAUCCACCUCCAGCCUCAAAAACCAUCUCCAGCACAGUCCUCCACUGCCUCAGAAAAACACUGACAAAGCCAGUCAUUGUCCACCUGCAGCUUUGUUAAGACAGCUCCAGUCUCACGAAUGUAACCAGCCUCAGCCUUAAACUCCACCUACAUCCGGGAUAUUAAAAAAAAAACACCUCAGCUUGACUCCACCUACCUCCAGCCAGCAACAGUCUCAAGAUCCUCGUCCAUCCAACCAGCCUCUAAUCCAACAUCUAGGCCUCAAAUAAUAAAAGACACCGACACCAUCAAGUCCAAGUCCUCCUGCCUCAACUCUGAAACAUCAACAGCCUCCAACCAGCCUCCGCCAUCAUUUCCAACAUGUGUUCUCCGUAACAACGAGCUUCAAGACCAGUCUUCGAUGUCCACCUGCUAUUACCAGCUAUAACAGCAGCCUCCAGCCAGCCUCCAAGCAUCAGUGAGUAGUCUUAAGUGAAAUGUGUGUUAUUUAAAGUAUGGCACAAACCGACAUCCCCUCAACAGAACCUAUGUACUGCUGACUCUCCACAGGUCCAGAAAGUCGACCUCCGGUCCCAGCCUCCCACACCUCCUCCUGACCUUCUCCAGGUCUCAGGUUUACAGCUCAGCCUGCAGUCUUCCUCUCCUGCCCCAGAGACAUGCUCAAGUAAGUUUGUAAAUUACAACUGGAUUUUAAACCAUAGCGAUGAAACUGCAAACACAUACAUAGACACCAAGAAUCAAAAAGUCACUCCCAAAACUGUUCUCCAGCUUCAACGACCAUCCGAAACAUCUACCUCUGCCUCCAUUGUCCACCUGCUCCUUCCAGCCUCCUUCCUGCCAUCAUCCACAGCCUCCUCUGCCUGAAGCCACUGUCUCCAUCCACUGCCUCUGUGAGACACCUUCAAGCUUUAAUAAACCACAGCAGCCACCUAAACAACUGCCUCUGAUUUUACUUGACAUUCCUCCUCUUCCUCUGAUCCAUGAGACAAAGACAGAAGACACUUGACCUUGCAAUGAGAGAGCUUAUCUUGCCUUUUAAUGGUAUAUGUAUAAUACUUGAUUUGAUUUAUUUGGCAAUUUCAUUUAAAAUAACACCAGCUGUGCCAAAGUGUAAGUGGAAAGAGAAAAGGAAAAUAAGAAGUCAGGAUAACAAGGAGAGGGUCAGAACAGCAGAUCUAACACGGCAAGAAUGAAACAUACAUUAUCAAAGACAGUCAUUCAAUUACACUCGACAAGUUUUUCUUUGUAUUAACAUCAAUCACUACCUCAGUGCAAUGAUGUACAAUGUAUGGUCCGUUUCACCACUCAAUUAAAUCAAGCUAAUUAAAAUCUGUGUUCAUCAGAGAUAAAUAUAUCAUAAAUAUGUCAAUAGACUAACCACAUGUGUCACUGGCCCCUCAUCUGAUCACCUAGAAGUCUGGGUCUGUCUACAAGAGUAGAAUAAAUAAGCUGCAGUGGUGUUUAAAAGUGUUGCUGAUUUCUUAUUUUUCUUUUUAAAUGAAGGUUUUCAUUGUUAAGGUAAAACUAAAUCCAAACACACAUGACCCUGUGUGAAACAGUGAUUUCCCCCUAAACCUAAUAACUGGUUCAUAGCAGCAACAACAGCAAUCGAUCGUUCACGAUAACUUGCAAUGAGUCUUUUCCAGCGCUGCGGAGGAAUUUUAGCCCGUUCAUCUUUGCAGAAUUGCAGCCUAUCCUCACCUGCAAAACUGUGAACACAACAUGGACAAAACCUCCUGCUGUGCUGAUUAUGUUCCACCCCUUUUAAGUAGGCAUACUGAACACCUGACAAAUACACAAGUAAAUGUUGCCUCUCUAUUUUUUAUUCCCUCCAAUUUCAGGGAGAUAUAUUUGGCUCUUUAGUUGGCCUAAAUGCUGCAACAGCUGCUGAUUUUGUCCGUCUGUCAUGUGGAAGACCAGGUUUUUGGGGGCUUUGCUGUGCUCAACAACACUGUGAGAGCAGUGAGAGUGAACUAAAAACCCUCCAUAAAGCUCUGUAUAAUCCUAAGAGAACUAAUUCUUUGCACCGCCACAUUGCCAUUUGGCCACUUAAUUGUUUUAGUAAUUGUUUAGCAACUAUGUUGUUGCAGAGCUGCCGGCUGCAAGAGGUGAUGACAGACAGAUGCAGGUGCAGCAUGAACAAGGUGCCUUCAGCCGACGUUACAAAGAUAUGAGAUGUGGCUGAAGGCUCUGGAAACUCAAAGUAAGCGGAGGUUGUUUUUGAGAAGUUCCCGUGUUCCUAUUUCUACUAGGAUAAUAAUACUUCCUCAACCGCUGUUUACGUGCUACAGUAAUAAACACAUACUGUAAGUGGGACACUGGCGCACAUGUAAACACAAUCAUUGUGUGUUAGAGGAGGCCUUUCCUCUCGGCCUCCCUGGCACAGUUCCCAUGGCGCAGAGCGGCCCGAUAAGAACGCGCCCCUCUGUCUGUCGCAUUCCAAGCAUCCUGCACCGAGUCCCAUCGCACCAGAGGAGCUCAGUCACAACCUGCACCCACUCCCUCCCUUCGACCCGGGCCUCCAAGAGCGUGCUCAGAAUCCAGAACAAUGAGGCGUUCCCAUCUUAUAAGGGACCAGGCUUGGAGCUAGAAGUGGGACAUGGACACACGCGAGGCACGACAGGCAUGUUCUCUGAGGCCGUGCCAUGGAAUGUGCAACAAAGAAUGCAUGCAGGCCACAACAAUUCUGGGAAAAGUCAACUUAUCUUGCGAGGGAAGUUCAGCAGAAAAGACAUUUCAAGCAUGUCGUCCAGGUACAACAACUAUUGAGAAGAGGAGGAGGAGUAGUGAAUCACAUGGAGCAAUGCCUGAAGACACACUGAAGCAAUCUGCGGGCCCCAAAAGGUACUGACCGCAUAUGUGGCCCAGAUUUACUCAAAUCGGAGAUAGUCUUACCCUCCCAUACCCAGAAUUCUCCUAGAAAGUCCGCCCUUUCUGGUUUAAGAAAGCCCCGCCAACCUGCGAGAUAAAUCAGCAGUCUAUACAAACAAUCUAGCCUCAGUCUUUAUUCCCAUGACAAGUUAUGAUCUUACAGAUAAGGGAAAUUCCUCAAACAAAUACCUCAGAUAUCUCAAUCCAUCAAGAUGUCUUGAUAAGGUGAACCAAUAUUCCCACUGAGUAUUCACCAACUGACUUUUUUUAUUUGCUCAUUUGAGGGGUUAGAGCUUAAUGUCCAUUAAGAUGUCUGCUUUGUGACAAGCCUCCCAGUGAGGCAUUCCUGUUUUAUGACGGCAACAGACCUGAAAGCCAGAAACAAGCCUCUGAAUUACUGUGUAUUACAGGGUAAUUGUAGCGUAUCGGACCUUGUGGCUUCAUUGCUGUUGACAGCAGAGCGUUUCAUUGCUCCCUCUGCUGCUUGUUUAUGGUACAGCCUGGCAAGCAGGGAACAUUUCUGACCCAUCAUCUCAGCAAAUUCAUGCAGAAGUAACUACGCAUUCAUAAUUUUUUUUUUUUUUUUUUUUAAAGUUGGACAGAUUUGCUGGGAUCACAGAGUCAUAAAAGAAGACAAUAUUUCUCAUUUUCCACAGAUGGAUGUUUCACAAUUCACUCAAAAACAAACAACUCCUACAGCCGCAGACAUGGAAUAUACUUGCACGCCACACCGUCAUCUUAAUUUUUAGCAUUCCUUCGGUUUAAAUUUGUUUGCGCUUCUUAAUAUUUCACUCGGAGUUUAAUCUUGUGCUUAAAGAAGAAUGUGAAAAGUAAAUUUGACUCAGACAUGAUUGGGAGUCAGUCCAGGUCCGACAUCAAAACUGGUCACAGGUUUCUAUGUAUGCAUGUAAUAUAGGAGAUAUUCAUUUAGAAUAAUAUGUCUUUGCAUAUUCAUAGUUUUUGUUUGAAUGUUUCAGUAAUAGGUGGAGAGCAUUUGAGAAGUAACUAAAGUUUUUUUCCCCAUAAAAUUCGAUGCCUUACCAGCUAUUCAACUGAAUAACUGAGAAAAACAUCUUAACAAGGUUUCAAAACAUUCAGCAAUUACAACAUGCAUAAUAUGCUGCACUAUUUUUGCACACCGAGUGCAGUUUUCAGUGUUCAUGAGUAUUAUCAUGAUGCAUUAUUUAGCACAAAUGUGCAGCAGUGUGGAGAAUGAAGCAUGUAUUUUACUUAUAUAUGUAUAUUUCAUAUAUAGGUCUGAGCCACAGCUUUUCCAUUUUUAAUAUCAUCAUCAGCCAGUGUUAUGGUGCUGUAAGGCUAAGUUGCUGGAAUGGGGUUAAGAGCCUUAAUCAAUUUAACAGUUAAUCAUCUUAAAGCCUGAAGAAUUUUUCCCCGCGAAUCAUUACGUAAAUUAAGCACUUUAAACUCUCCUUGGACUUGAAUCAGCCUCACUCCUCCUCCCUGUUACUAGGCCCCUUCAAGGAAUCUCUACAUAUAAAAACCUUUUCACCUCCCUCCGGAGAGAGCCAGAGGAAUGCCUGCUUGGCCAAAUUCCUUGGUGCUGUUUGUUGGGGCUUACAGUGCUAGCAACACAGGCUAGCAAAUACCAAAGCGAGAAGUCAGGGGACCCAGAGGCUGCGGAACAUUACUUCUGUUUUGUUAUUGUAAUAGUAUGCCGGGCAAAAAUGAAAAACACAUAUUUCCUGGCCUUUGUUUAUGCACUUUAUUUCCAUUUUAUCAGUCCAGUGUGUCCUUCAUUAGGAAAGCAGUAAAAAUAUAACCAUCCCCGGCUCAGCCUUUCAGUGUUCCACAUGGUUGAUAUUAACAUUCCUCCAGCUUUCUAAUGAUGAGGACAAAGCAGGCCGCAGGGGAAGGUUCAUGACAGCAUUGGCAUGGUGCACGCAUUCCUGCGCUAGACUAGCUGGAGGGCCUCUGCAGGGUGGGUGGUGUAGGUGGUGAGCCACAAUGUAAGCUCUCCCUUAUUUGAAGACACUAUGUUCGGUACAUACUGUAUGAUGUAUUUCCCCAGUUAUGACAGACGUGCGGGGAGGCGGGACACAAAGUGAUGUUAUUUUCUCUGGAUGGAAGCUCGUAUUAAUGCUGCAUUCCAGGCAACAAGUGGAAUCUGACGCUUCCUCCAAGAAAAAAAAUAUGCAAAACACCACUUUAUAUUAGAAGUCUGCUUAGAAGAAAUCCAUCAACCAAAGAUCUCUUAAGCAUGACAAUAUGAAUCAUCGAUAACUUUUUUGAGGACCUUUCAAUCUAUUAAAUGCACAACUGACAUGAAUUUCUAUUUCCUAAUAAAACUUUCACCAGCACUGGUGUUAUACUUCUCCACACGUGCGCGCAAACAUCCCCAAGAGGAAGGUUCUGACUGAGGCUGGAAGAAGGGCCGACACGUUUGUCUAACUACUCUCACCACUCUUUGCACAGACUGAUCCGAUUCCUGUCAGUCCGCGGGUAUGAAACACAGUUAAAAAUAAAUACGCUAGCACGUCUCAGUGACCUCGGCGCCAGUACGAUUCUGACUUUACAGGCAAAAGUUCAUCAUUAACGUCAAUCCAGGCCUGAACACAAAACAGCACAACACCAAGUUUAAAACUUCACAUGUGCCUUAAGCAGUUCCCCACUGGGUUGCCGUAGAGUUCAUGAGUCACGUCUGAGGACGGGUUAUGGUGUCACACAACAACUUCUAAAGAUCAUUUGAAAAUUGAAUGUGUUUGUGCUCAUUCCAAGUAACUGCACUGGAAGAUUUUCAGGGCUCCGGGGAGACACAAGAGUAGCAUUGGAUUGGUCACUAGAAAAGUCACCCAAAUAAUAAUAGUAAUAACAAUAA
Mugil cephalus (flathead mullet) is the source of this 8212-nucleotide long non-coding RNA. RefSeq lists it as uncharacterized. NCBI's taxonomy places the organism in Eukaryota, Metazoa, Chordata, Actinopteri, Mugiliformes, Mugilidae. The transcript has 2 exons. The record is from RefSeq and is a predicted model, not a curated record.